This is a non-coding RNA of Cordylochernes scorpioides, 7999 nucleotides long. NCBI's taxonomy places the organism in Eukaryota, Metazoa, Arthropoda, Arachnida, Pseudoscorpiones, Chernetidae. The record is from the annotation of a GenBank genome assembly.
AGGUCGUAGUAAAACAAAAGAUUUAGUUCACAUUUGUAGGAUGAAACCAUAUUUAAACCCAGAGGACCAGGAGGACCACCUAGAAUAGGACCCAGAAGAUGACUCGACAAACUUCCAGGAAGAAGACAUCCCCACUGAACGAACACAACAACCACAGACCCGUGUAGAGAUCUCAGGCCCUAUCACCCGUUCACGAGCCUUGAGACUGAGGAUGUAAGUCUCCUUCUGAGCAUCGGGUCGAUGCUCUUUAUAGGAGGAGGCUAUGUGACGAAGAAAUAAUUUAUUAAUUAAAUUAUUCAAUGAAACUAUUCAACAGAGUAUAUAAAUAUAUAUUAAUCUUUUAUGUAAAAUAAUUAUCAAAAUAUCUCUUUGCUUGCUUGCUCAAGAUUCUCUAGCUGUAAGUAGUUUUUGCUGACUUGUUAAUAAUUGUCGACUUGUCGCCGUGACGUCAUCAAUAAAUACUUUUACAUCUUAGGAUAUUUCAAGGCUUGAUUUCUACGCUACAAUAUAUAUAAAUGAUAUUUAUUCCCUCAGAUAGCCCACGCUGUCAACAACUUCCAGUUGCACAAUAAGAAGAUGCCUUUAUCUUAAUUUAUCCACCUUAUCCCAGUACAAUAUCUCAUUUGUUAUAUAUUUUUACUAAUGGCAAGUGUAAUUUUUGAUGUCAUAAAAGUAUUGCUUAGAAAAAUAAUUAAUUCUAUUUUUUUUUUAAAUAUUUAAAUGGCUAUAUAUAUGUGUGUGUGUCUUUAUUGAUUCUAACAUAUAUAAUUUUUUUUUCAGGAUUAAAGUCACUCCUUUUUCCUCUGUGAAUAUUAUAUAUAAUAAUAAAAAUAAUUCUGCAUCCAUAUGUCAAUAAGUAGUAUUUUUGAAAAUGUCUUUGGUGCAAAUAUUAUAAAUACAAAAUAUCAAGUGCAGCAUAAUUCGUUUAUUUUCCUCUUUUGGAUAUUGUGGAGGGUGACUAAACUAAUCAAAACCUAGAAAGUGAUAGCCUUCUUGAAAAGCAUUCAUUUGUAGAAAAAGAAGAAGUAAAUUUUCUACAAGUGUGACUUUUUUGAUGGCAUAGUUAAAAGGAAAUUCAAUCUACAUACAUUUGGUCACUCAAGCAUGGAAAAUGACCUUUUAAUGUGACUUGUGACUACAAAUCAAGAAUCAAAUAUACACCAGUAAACAUUUGAUGACUCAUACUGGUGAAACAGAUCAAGAAACAAAUGCAGCCUUAAUCAACAUUUGCUCACACACACACCAAGAAAAGUCAUUUAAAUAUAUGUUUUAUAAAUAUAAAGCAAUUAAGAAAUGUAUGCUGAAAAGACAUCCGAUUAAAUACUGGCGAAAGGGCCUUUUAAAUGUGAACAUUGUGAAUUUGAGUAGACAUAACAGCUCCCUCAAAAAGCAUUCAUAACUUUACAUAGGUAAGAUGUACAUUAAUGGCAUGCAUGCUGCAUAUUUAUCAAAAAUUUAAAUGAGAACAUCUUUAUUUUGCAACCAUAUACAAUAAAACCCUGAUAAGACAAAACCAGGAUAUAAUGAACCUUCCUUUCUAAAGAACCCAAUGUAAAUCCGAAUUCCAUUAAAAAUACCAUUGUUAUAACGAACAUUGUGUUUUUCAAAAUAGCAAACUAUAAAUAAAACAAAAUCAAUUUAGGUCCCAAAAUAUUAAAUUCUAUGUAAAAUACCAUGCCUAUAACUAACUUUGAAUUUUAAUUCAAUCAAUUUUUGAAACUAAUUAAUAUUUUUGUGCGAGCUCUAGGUUACAGAUCACAAUUUAAAACAAUGAAUUUAGGGACAUUGGUGUUUUCAUUUAUGAUCCAUUUUUUACUGCCUACAUGCUUUUAUAAAUUUUAUACCUUAUUGAAAACUAAAUUUCUUUACAUUCGUAAAAUUCCUUUGAAAAUGGACAAAUUAUUGACACCGGUUUCAAAAUAUAAUAGAAGUUCCAAAGAAAAAGUCACUCGUAACAAUAUUCACUUGAAAAGAAAAUAGCCAUCAUACAAACCAUGUAUUGAUACAUGAAAGUGGUACAUCACAAGCAGAAUUUUGGAAGAAAAUGAGAAAAAGUAGCAAUUCUGCGAAAUGGGGCCAAAAAGAAGUUGGCCGCGAACAUCAGUGUCAUUAUCUUCUUUUAGAAGCUUGUAUAAAUGGCUUGUACAAGCUAGGCUAAAAAAUAUCCCACUAAAUAAGCCACAUUUUACAACAAGAGGCCAUUCUUCUAUACCAUGGGUAUGAACUAUGAUGAUUUUGAAGCCCGUAAUGGGUGCUUUAAUAUAAUUAAGGCCAGAAAAUAAAUAUUAUUUUUUUAAAAUUUGCAGAGAGGAAAGGGCAAUGAACCUUUUGGUGGUGGAAGAUGGAGAAAAAAAAAAACCUACUUUUUUGGACAAGUAUUCUCCCUCCAAUAAUUUAUAAUCUUGAUGAGUCAAAGGAUUAUUUUAUAGGAUUUGCCUGACAAGACACUCACCUUCAAAGGCAACAUUUUUCUGGAACAGAGGCCAAACGAGAGAAUUACCUUUUUGGCUGGAGCUGAUAUGGAUUGCUUAGAAAGCAAAAAAAAUCUCUCCACCCAUUAUGAAGCAAAUAAAAUAGCUUGAAUGACAGUCUUAAUUUUCAAAAAAUAUCUUCAUUAUUUAGAUAAGUAUUUUGCCAGUGAAAAUAGAUAGGUGGUUCUAAUUCUAGACAAUUAUUCAGCACACAUCCCUGAAAAAUUGAAAAAUAUUCAGGUAUUAUAUUCCGCCCCAAUGCCACAGCCAAGAUGCACCCUAUGAAUAUGGGAAUAAUUCAUGAUAUUAAAAGGAGAUAUAGGAUCAGGUUAAUCAAUAGAUGCCUUAUAGACAUGGAAAAAAAAACAGAGAGACCAAUAUUACAUUGCUUGAUUCAAUAGAAUGGUUGAAUAUGUCAUGGGACUCUGAUCCUAAAUCAACCAUUGUAAGUUGCUCUUCUAUGUCUGGGUUCGGAAACCUUCAAGAUGAAAUUGCCCCACAAGAUUCUUUAAAUUUAUUAAACCUUGAAGGAAUAUCAAAAGCAUCCAAAAAAUUUGAGCAAUAUAUUCGUGUUAAUGAGAAUGAACAGUUUAAAUCAGAAAAAAUAAAGACUUUUUAAAGUAAGCCUAUAUUGUAGUAUAAAAAUAUUGAUUUAAAAUAGAUUUUAAUACCUUUUAAAUAUUAUUGAUAUAACUUUUCCUUUUAUUAUACUUUUCUUGAUUUUUUAGACAUAUGGGGGGGGGGGGGGGUUUGCAUAAUUAGAAGAACCAAUCUUUUGCUUAUUACUUUUGUUUCUUUGUAUAUCUGAAAAAAAAACAUUAACAUUAUAAAUGUCCAGUAUGUGCUUAUUUUUACAUUAUCCACCAAAAUAUCUUGUGAUUAAUUCAAGUAUUCAGUUGUGUAUAUAGAACAUGAUUUGAAAUGUUACACAUACCUCUGUUAAUAAAAUUUCCUAUUUUUGCCAUAUAGUAAAACUCAUUUAGCAUUUUUCAAACUCAAUACUGUUGUUUAUGUUGUUCUUGUGUCUAUUUGAUCACGCAGAAUGCAACUGAACUAAGUAUUUAUUUAUUUACCAUCUAUUUUUUAUAACAUGGUUAUAUAUCUAAGAGUGUUUACAAGUCGAGUCGGCAGUGUUGCCGGAUCAAUCAUAACAUGUUUCCUUUAAACAAAAAUAAAAAAGGAUUGCAGUUCUCCUAGUCUCUAUAACGCAAAGGUUUUCUCACUGUUCUACCACUGCGGGUUCGCACACUAGGAGAAGUAGAUGAUUCUUCACCUUUCUUGGCAAUGUCCUCCCUUGGAUCAUAUGCUCUUCUGUUUUCGGAAGUGGGUCUUCCGUGAUCUUGUAUGUUGUCAUCCAUGGCUGUCCCUGCUUGAGAUCCAGGAAUGCUUGGACUUUGACUUGUUGGGGCAGAAUCUUCUACACUGAACUUUCUCGGUCUAAGGUGAGACCUGUUCCUGCGGUAUUCAAACCCACUUAGUGUUUUCACCAUAUAUGAGCGUGGAGUUUCAUGCUUUGCGGUCACUGUUGCCGGAACCCAUUUUCUAUGCCUUUCCUGCAACAUGAUGUUGUCUCCUACUUCCAAAGGUCUCAAAAUUCUCUUUGGACUUCCUGCAUACUUUUGUUGAUGGUCUCUCAAUUUUUGGUAAUUCUUUGUUGUGUCAAACAGUGGUUUCAACUGUUGUCGGGUGUAUGUCGAAAGAGUUCUCACAGAUCUUCCCAUAAGCAUUUGGGUCGGAGAUGCAACUGAACUAAGUAUUUAUUUAUUUACCAUCUAUUUUUUAUAACAUGGUUAUAUAUCUAAGAGUGUUUACAAGUCGAGUCGGCAGUGUUGCCGGAUCAAUCAUAACAAAUACCUCAAACAAACAUGUUAAAAUGGUGAUACAUUUUAAUUAUGAAGCCUGACAAGAAAUUAAUUUUUAGCAUUAUUUUCUUUUAAAAUUAAUAUUGUCACGAUUUUGAAUUUUAUAAUUAAUUAUUUCUUUUUUUUCAAAGGAUUUUGUAUAUUAAUUUAAAGUCAUUUUUGUUAUCAUCAUCCCAUACAAUGUAAUUUUUAAUAUAUAUAUAAACAAACGAUAAUAAACAAAAAUAACAAUGUAAUUUGCAUCUUCAUUAUUAUAAAACAACAAAUAAAUUAUCAAUGUAAAACCAUAAAACCUUUUAACAUUUAACACCAAAACGUUACAUUAAAUUUUGGCGCAGCUACGAAAGGAUACCAUACAAAAGGCUAUGAUGCAAUAAAGGUAGAAUGGUGGCAGGGUUUAACAAAUUAAGAAAAAUUUAGCGGUGAGAAAGGUUCAAUUCGCCCUAAAUCUUGGCUUAAACUAUAUGAAUUAGAAACUAUCAAGCUAGAUGAAAGUGAAAUAAUCAAUAGUUUAAUUUAUUAUUCAUCAAAAGAUGCCUUGGUAUAUAAUGGUAUAAUUUUUUUCUUGCAUCACAGGGCCAUUUAUGUUCUUUAUAUCCCGGGUUUGUAUUAGUAGAGUUUUACUUAUAAAAGAAAUAUGUUUCAAUUAAAAGAAAAUUGAUAAGGCACAAUUUGGAUUAUAAAUUAUAAACACAAGAUAAUAAGACCAAAUAAUUUAAUAAUGUGUGACAUUUCGGUAACAGCUGUGGUAAAAUUUCUCAUUCAGUACUUUUGUCUGAAGAUGGUAACAAUGCUGUUACCGAAACGUCACAACUAUUUAUUUGGAUUUGGUCUUAUUGCCUUGUUAAUUAAACAAACAAACAAACAAAAACCUUUAUUAAGACACUAUUGUCUUACAAGGGGAUUCCCCUAAAAGGUUAUAUAUGUACAUGAGUGAGGAGGAAAAGCAAUUUAGAGGGGAAGGGGAGCAAUCAGCCGUUGUCUGUGGAUUGAGCACUUCUUCUCUCAUUUUAUCAAUCGCCUUGAAAAAUUUAAAAUAUUUAUAAACAAAUGUUUUAUCCAGCAGGAGAGCAGUAAAGAUUUUAUAUACAUGUUGUUCAUUGUAGUGAAUUAGCUCCGAAAUUUCGCGAAUUUCCAUUUUCUUUUCAUGUAGGAAUGGGCAAUGGAAAAGAUAGUGGACCAAAUUGUCUUGGAUGCCAACAUUGCAAAAGUAGCAAUUUAAAGGGUCGCUGUUCCAAAAUCCUGUGAUAUCCUCGCGGAAAGGUAGCCAUAGAAACCUUGUGAAUUAAAAUAAAAGUGUUUCAAUUAUGGUAAAAGAGUAUUUUUCAAUUCUUGUUAUUUAAAGGGUAAAAAGAGUAUUUUUGAAAAUAAAAAAUGUUGUUUUUAAAGGUUGAAAUAGUGUCAAAGGUGUCAAAUCAGAAAUUAGCCUGCUUUGAUAUAAGUGCCAGUUAUUCAAUUGACAUUUAGCGCACAUUUGAAUAGGUAAGGUAAUAAGACUAAAUUCAAACGAAUAAAUAGUGGGAUAAUAAAACCGAAUCCAAAUGAAUAAAUAGUGUGUGACAUUCUGGUAACAUUAUUGUUACCAUCUUUAGACAUCUGUAUGGUAACAAUGCGCCUACCAAAACAUCACACACUAUUCAUUUGGAUUUGGUCUUAUUAAAUUGUUUUUAAAAUAUAAAAUCCAAAUCGUGCCUAAUCAUGAAAAAUAUGCUUUUCUGAGCCUUUUCAAGUAGACCACUUUUCAACUUUGAUGAACUUUCAAGUCAUUUGCCCCUACCACAGUGUUGGAUGUUGAAAUUUUAAGCAUAAUGUAGAAUUGUUUGAAACAAUAUUUUCUACUUCAGUAGUUGAUAACUGCAAGUACUAAUGAAGCUGCUCAAUUGAAGAAACUUUUGUCAUGUUAGACUUAGAGCUUACAAUCUUAUUUCUUGAUCCAAUUUACCAGCCACAGCGUGAACUAAAUACAAUUCUUUUAUUCAACACCACCCGAGGCAUUCGAAUUUUCAGUUGAAUUAAAACCAGUGUUAAAUUAUAGUCAGUUAAAAUAAAUAAGCCUAUUAGGAUUUUAAAAAAUGAUAUAAAUAAAGUAAGUGUUGAAUUAUAUUUAGUUGAAUUGAAGAGGUUGCACUAUGUUUGUUUAGUGUAUUCAGAGAUUGUGUAUAUUUCUCAAUUUUGUUAUCAAGGAGAUUGACCUAUGUCAUAACAUAAUGGCAAGUUAAGUAAAAGACAUCUCCUUUUAGUGCAACUGAGAGUUGCUGAUAGCUGGCAGCAUCUGCUGGAAUAAAUAUCAACUAUUCUGUUGAUUUUGAUUAUUCCAGAAUUGGCCAAAUACCCAUUUUUGAUUCAUUAAGUGAAGCUAACCCUGUAUGCUUUCCAGGCUGUCAGACUUUUUGAUUUUUUUUUUAAAUAAAGAAUAGGAAUUUUUCGAAUUCCUGAUUAAUUAAAAUAUAAACAGAAUAGUGUGUAUUUUUCCCCACAGAUGAGGCAAACCAUCAGCAACUUUCAGUUGCACGAUGAAGAGAUGCCAUUUUCUUAAUUUAUCCACCAUAUCCCACACAAUUUUAUAUUUGUACAAUUUAUCCCAUUGUUUCGCUGUCUCACACACUUCUGGCCUUAACCACCUGUUUCAUGUUUUUUUAGGAUGCCUGCAUGACCAGUUAUUUGGUCGUUAUGGUACAGCUUGCACCCCGCUGAUGAGGGCAACAGCCGAAACACGUAUGUUUUUAUCUUUUCUUGAUUAAUCAAGAAUGGGUAUUUGGCCACAUCUGGAAUAAUUAACACUUUCGACCUAAGGGACGCGAAUUCACAUCAUUACCGAUUUUUCAUCAAGCCCGAAAUACAUGAAAAACUAAUUUGCAGAAGAGAAGAUUUCGCUAAUUUUAGAAUGCCCAUUUUAUUGCCCUCAGAUCACUUCUUGGUUUCUUUGCUCAUCAGGUGGAACCAUGAAACCCACGGGCACGCCGGUCUACAAACUCUCCUCGGUAUUCUGAGAGAAAACUAUUGGAUAUUAAGAUCCAGGAAAACCGUCAAGAAGAUCAUCAAUCAAUGCAUUCGCUGUAAACGAUUCACCGCGACACCAGCUACCGUCGAGUCAACAUCAUUACCAGAAGACAGAGUACGACAUGCUGCAGUUUUCGAAAUAGUAGGAGUUGAUCUAACUGGACAUCUUAUCUUAAAGAAUAAGAAGAAAGCAUGGAUUGUCAUCUUCACAUGUGCAGUGUAUAGAGGAGAUCAUCUGGAACUUGUGACAUCUUUGUCAAUGGAAGCCUUCCUCCAAGCUUUCCGCCGAUUUAUUGCUCGAAGAGGCCGACCAUUGAUUGUGUAUUCGGAUAAUGGGACUAAUUUCAAAGGCAUGGCUAAUGCUUUAAAGAAAAUUGCUUUUUCGAGAUUAAAAUGUGAUCCCACAUUGAAAAACAUCACCUGGAAAUUCAUACCGCCUAGUGCUCCUUGGUGGGGUGGAUGGUGGGAGCGUUUGAUUGGAAUGAUGAAACAAUUGCUCUUUAGGAUUCUCGGUCAAACCUCCUUGAAUAACUUUCCACGGUAAUGUGUGACGUCGAAAGCUUGAUGAACACAAGCCCACUGACCUACCUAACUGAAGAAAGUGAGGAUCUCGUUCCAUUGACACCUUCGUUGUUCUUACAUGAGGUCAGAGAGGUUGGCGUUCCA